CGUCCUUGUGCUACUCUUAUUUCCCUUUUGGAUGUAGUUCACAGAGAGAAAACACCUGAGUGGUUUGACUGAUGCUUCUAGAUGAUGGGCUUCAUUAUUUUAGAGGAGGCAUAAGAGAAGAGAGAUGUCCUGUGUAUGCUAAGAAACUUAGAAUUGUCUGUUGGAGAUUAAUCCAGGGGAAAAGGCAAGAAAAACAAUUUUAAUCUAUAUAGGAGGCAACAGAGAAGUUUCUGGGAUUCCAUUUUUCACACCUUACAUCAUAAUGAAUAAAUUAUCCAAGAUCAUGUCAGCUGCCCUUCUAAUCACCAUGCUAAAUUUGUUUUUUCAAGUUGUCUCUGAGAAGCCCGGAGAAAAUGGUAAGUUUAAGAAUGAGUGAAGUAAUAGAUCUGAAUACUUAUUGUACUGGACUUAUGGUGUCAAGAAAAGUUUUGCAGUUUUUUUGAGUACCUGAAGAAAGUAAUUUCCACAGAUAUUAUCUGGUAUACUCAUUCUAUCAUUUUAUCACUCAGUGGUCACAUUAAACUUGUACUGACCCUGGGAAUCAACACUGCUAAAGACAUAAGAUUGCAGACUCCAGAAUCUGGAGGGUUCACAAAUUCUAGUGGAGGAAUAAUGAGAAUGAGGGGAUUAUUCAGGAAGAAUUAGGACUAAUCUGUAUGAAUUUUUUUUUAAGUUCACAGUAAGGUUUUACUUUUUCAACUUUUUUCUUCCAGUUUAAGAUAUAACUGACACACUGUACUGUAUAAGUUUAAAGUAGAGAGCAGAAUCAUUUGCCUUACAUUUAUCAUGAAAUAAUUAGUUUUAUAAUUUUAGUCAACAUCCGUCAUCUCAUAUAAAUACAUAUUUAAAAUAGAA
Molecule: non-coding RNA, 855 nt
Organism: Sus scrofa (pig)
Lineage: Eukaryota; Metazoa; Chordata; Mammalia; Artiodactyla; Suidae
Source: RefSeq, a predicted model, not a curated record